GACGAACGCUGGCGGCGUGCUUAACACAUGCAAGUCGAACGGUGAAGCUCCAGCUUGCUGGAGUGGAUCAGUGGCGAACGGGUGAGUAACACGUGAGCAACCUGCCCCUGACUCUGGAAUAAGCGCUGGAAACGGCGUCUAAUACUGGAUACGAGAAGGGUCCGCAUGGGCACUUUCUGGAAAGUUUUUCGGUUGGGGAUGGGCUCGCGGCCUAUCAGCUUGUUGGUGAGGUAAUGGCUCACCAAGGCGACGACGGGUAGCCGGCCUGAGAGGGCGACCGGCCACACUGGGACUGAGACACGGACCAGACUCCUACGGGAGGCAGCAGUGGGGAAUAUUGCACAAUGGGCGAAAGCCUGAUGCAGCGACGCCGCGUGAGGGAUGACGGCCUUCGGGUUGUAAACCUCUUUCAGCAGGGAAGAAGCGAAAGUGACGGUACCUGCAGAAGAAGCACCGGCUAACUACGUG
Molecule: ribosomal RNA, 468 nt
Filed under: uncultured bacterium
Lineage: Bacteria
Description: partial 16S ribosomal RNA
Rfam family: Bacterial small subunit ribosomal RNA
Source: RNAcentral